Molecule: ribosomal RNA, 422 nt
Filed under: uncultured bacterium
Lineage: Bacteria
Description: bacterial SSU rRNA
Rfam family: Bacterial small subunit ribosomal RNA
Source: RNAcentral
UCUUCCGCAAUGGGCGAAAGCCUGACGGAGCAACGCCGCGUGAGUGAUGAAGGUCUUCGGAUCGUAAAACUCUGUUAUUAGGGAAGAACAAAUGUGUAAGUAACUAUGCACGUCUUGACGGUACCUAAUCAGAAAGCCACGGCUAACUACGUGCCAGCAGCCGCGGUAAUACGUAGGUGGCAAGCGUUAUCCGGAAUUAUUGGGCGUAAAGCGCGCGUAGGCGGUUUUUUAAGUCUGAUGUGAAAGCCCACGGCUCAACCGUGGAGGGUCAUUGGAAACUGGAAAACUUGAGUGCAGAAGAGGAAAGUGGAAUUCCAUGUGUAGCGGUGAAAUGCGCAGAGAUAUGGAGGAACACCAGUGGCGAAGGCGACUUUCUGGUCUGUAACUGACGCUGAUGUGCGAAAGCGUGGGGAUCAAACAGG